RNAcentral lists this ribosomal RNA (545 nucleotides) under uncultured cyanobacterium. Its description in RNAcentral is "bacterial SSU rRNA". It matches the Rfam family "Bacterial small subunit ribosomal RNA", at positions 508 to 1051 of the family's 1533-position model. The record is from RNAcentral. Lineage: Bacteria; Bacillati; Cyanobacteriota.
CCAGCAGCUGCGGUAACACAGAGGAUGCAAGCGUUAUCCGGAAUGAUUGGGCGUAAAGCGUCCGUAGGUGGUUUUGUAAGUCUGUGGUUAAAGCGUGGAGCUUAACUCCAUAACGGCCAUGGAAACUACAAGACUAGAGUUAAGUAGGGGUAGAGGGAAUUCCCAGUGUAGCGGUGAAAUGCGUAGAGAUUGGGAAGAACACCGGUGGCGAAAGCGCUCUACUGGACUUAUACUGACACUGAGGGACGAAAGCUAGGGGAGCGAAAGGGAUUAGAUACCCCUGUAGUCCUAGCCGUAAACGAUGGAUACUAGGUGUUGCCCGUAUCGACCCGGGCAGUGCCGUAGCUAACGCGUUAAGUAUCCCGCCUGGGGAGUACGCACGCAAGUGUGAAACUCAAAGGAAUUGACGGGGGCCCGCACAAGCGGUGGAGUAUGUGGUUUAAUUCGAUGCAACGCGAAGAACCUUACCAGGGCUUGACAUGUCUAGAAUUCUUGCGAAAGUAGGAAGUGCCUUAGGGAGCUAGAACACAGGUGAUGCAUGGCCG